This 3210-nucleotide long non-coding RNA is filed under the name Homo sapiens (human). RNAcentral's name for it is "HSALNT0276510". Lineage: Eukaryota; Metazoa; Chordata; Mammalia; Primates; Hominidae. The record is from RNAcentral.
AACUAGUGGUGCUGGGGCUUGAGAGCUGUUUUUGGGGUGCUGGUAAUUUCUAUUUAUCAAUCUGGGUGCUGAAUCCUUGGGUGUGUACACCUAGUAGAAAGUCAUCAAGUUGCAUACUCAUGAUGUGUUCACUUUUCUGUGUAUAUAUAUCCUACAUCAAAAAAAAAUUUUACUUAAAAAGAAAUUGCCCUGCCAAGUUAGGUUUGGGGUGAUAUUCCCAGCUGCAUCCCUGAGCCUUGGUGCCAGCUGGGCCAGGGGGCCUUACUUCCUUCCUCUUGCUGUUUCUCAGAGCCUGCACCAGGGAGAAGAAAUCUUUUUUUCCCUUCUUACUCUUUCCUCUCCCUUGGCCUGGAGCUAUUGUACAUAUGCAAAUGCAGCAAUGUCAGCUAUUGAGAGAAGCUCAGCUAUUUAUAGCUGGAGUCUUGCAACACUUAUCACAGCCUCUGCAGACUUUAGAAAGGCUGAAACACACACACACGCACACACACACAUACAUGCACACACACACAUGCAUGCAAACGCACACACACUACACAGAGUAUAUUUUUUUCCCCAGGAUAUAAAUUUCCCAUCCCAUUGCAGUCUGGGCCGUUGCAUGCAACAUUGAUUGUCUGUUAUAUUACAUUUAUUAAGAAGUGAUAACUUGUAAUAAUUGGAUGUUAAAUUAAAGAACUCUCUCCUAGUUAUUGCCGUCUCAAUUAUAACUGUCGUUGGCUGGCAGUUAUAAUGAUAUAUGAGGGUUGUAUUUUACGCAGCCGACCAUGACCUGGUGAGUAAUAUUCCCCCAGCUAUGGGGGCACUCAUGCACUCCUUGGCUUCCAACGCCUUGCUUGGGUGCUGAUUGGAAUAUUAAGUUUCUGCAAGACUGAGAUGCCGAAAUCCACACGGAGAGCCGCGACUCCACAGCUGAGAGCCCCCUCUGGCAAUCUCCACCCGCCUCCUGCUUCUCCUCGCUGCCAGCAGAAGUGACUUCCAGCACAUCAGCGGUGGCUGCAGGGCAUUCAAGGAGGAUCUGUUAAGAAUGGGACCCUGGGGAACCCUCUGGACAAGCAGUCCUCGGGGAAGUGUUGAAAGAACUAUCAGGGGAAAGGAAGAAGAGAAGACAGACCAGCAUGGAUGCAAAAUCAGGGACUUCAAGGGAUUUCCAGAUCCAUCUGAGAUGAGAGUUUCAUAAUAAUCCUGCCACACUUCCUAGCAAAGCUCCCUUUCUGCCACUCUCAGAAGCAGGUGACAUGUUUACUUCAUUUUAAGCAAAUUCAACAUAUGGUUACUCAAGUUAUUCCUUUUAUAAAAUGGAUCCCCUACAGUAAUCAUUGAAGAAGCAAGAUCUCCAGUACACAUGAAAAGCAAUCUGUUUUUAAAAUGAAUUUUAUUUUCAAGCAACUUUUUCAAAAGUAAUGUUUGUGAUUAGUACAACUAAUAAUUCUUACAUGCCAGACACUGUUCUAAGCUUUCCAAUUCUCAUUUAAUUCUUGCAACAAUGCAGUGAGGCUGGUGCUGUUUAUAUUCCCAAUUUAUAGAUCAAGUAAGUGAGGCAUGAAGAAAUAAGAUAACUUGCUGAAGGCCAUCCAGCUAGUAAGCCUCAGAGCCAAGUAUAAACCCAGACUGUUGGGGACAGAGUCCAUAGUUUUGAUUGCUACAAUUUUCUGCUUCUACACAUGAGAAGGAAACUGGCUAGUAUUCCGGUCUGGCCAGACUGGGAAGACCCAUGCUGCCAUCUGUCAUGGGGUGAGCUUCCAACAGGAACAGUCUGCUCUGAACCCUCUUUUAUUCUCACCUGUUCUGCUUACCUCUGGAGUUUGUCAUUUGGGAGACUUGAGCCUUCCUCAAUCUCUAGCUUCUAUCACAGAACCUGGAACUGUGUAGAUGCUUAAUGAAGCGUCUGCUAAAUGAAUGUUGGGUGAGUGAGACAGUACACACACGGAUUCCUUUGCAGUGAUGUGAGCUGCUCACACUGGAUGCACACAGGCAGAAAAAAGAGAGAAACUGAGGCAGUUAUUGGAAGGCUCAGCUCAAAUCCCUUCCUACUUUGAUGACUAUCUUUGGUUCUAUUAUAUGGAAAAUUCCAUAUGGGGACUGCAAGCUCUUUGAAUGCAAAAUUCACCACCUCUGCCCUAUUAAUGGAUUCCCAAUAUCUGGCACAGUGCUUGGCUUGUAGUAGGGAUACUGUAUGCUGAAAGCAUGAGCAGUUGGUGGAGUGAAGGAAUGACUGGGAGGAUGAAUACAUAUUUCCUACCCUGCCAAUGUCCAGCUCAGCAGCCUCUAAACUUGUGCAAGCAUCAGGAUCUCUUGGAGAGCUUGUGACAACACAGAUGGCUGGGUACACUCCAGGAGUGUUUGAUUCAACAGGUCUGGGUUGGACCCAGGAAUCUACAUUUCUGACAAGUUCCCAGGUGAUGCUGAUGCUGCUGGUCUGGGCUAUCUACCUUGAGAACCACUGGUCUUAGCAGCCCUAGCUCACUGGUUCUCAAUCUUCACUGCAUAUUGGAACCAGCUGCAGGAAUUUAAGAAAAUGCAGAUUCCUGGGCUCCUUCCCUGGACAUUCUCAUGCAAUUGAUCUGAGGUGUGGGCAGGCAUUGGGGAUUUUAAAAGCUCCCAGUGUGGCAGGGUGUGGUGGCUCACGCCUGUAAUCCCAGUACUUUGGGAGGCCAAGGUUGGCCGAUCACUUGAGGCCAGGAGUUAGAGACCAGCCUGGCCAACAUGGCGAAAUCCCAUCUCUACUAAAAGUACAAAAAUUAGCUGGGUGAGGUGGCAUGCACCUGUAGUCACAGCUGCUCAGGAGGCUAAGGCAUGAGAAUCGCUUGAGCCUGGGAGGUGGAGGCUACAGUGAGCCAAGAUUGCACCACUGCACUCCAGCCUGGGUGACAGAGCAAGACUCUGUCUCAAAAAAUAAAAAAUAUUUAAAAAAAGAGCUCCCAGCGUGUUUCAAAUGCAGCAUAGCCAGAAAAGCUCCAGCCCGGCAUUCAUCUUUGACUCUUUACCUUGAUCUUCUUUGUGGCUGAAUGGGUUGGAGGGCUUAUGAGUGGUUUAGCUCACGUCUGUGCCUCUUGAGGCCCCCAAAAGCCACCUUCCCUGCUAUAUUCUGUGCUUGUUCCAGGCAACAGCUUCUCAAGGUGCUGCUUCCCUGAAAUUUCAUGUCUGUUCUUUGACGCCGUGAGACCCCAUCCCAGCCCUCGCCCACCCCGCACGCUGCAGUGUCUAUUAAGAGCA